RNAcentral lists this long non-coding RNA (1485 nucleotides) under Homo sapiens (human). Its description in RNAcentral is "HSALNT0334670". The record is from RNAcentral. Lineage: Eukaryota; Metazoa; Chordata; Mammalia; Primates; Hominidae.
UCCCUCCUGCUGAACUCUUCCUACCCGGGCUCUGAACACAUCCCUGAGCUGCAGAGCUGACGUCUGGGUGACAGUGAAACGGGGUAUUCAUUUGUACCAAAACAAACAAACAAACAAACAAAACCUGGAAUGACGGUGUGUGGAUUUCUUGUGUGCUUAUUCGUAGGAUUGAGAAAGGGUGAGGCUAAGGUCCCGAGCCUUCGUGAAGCAAUGGAGAAAGUGCCGUCCCAAGGCUCAGUUCCACACGGCGCUGUGAGGCUGAAGGGGCUCACUGGAAGUUCCCCUCACAGGACGCCACCUCACCUGAAACCCUCUUUUUCUGCUACCAUCCAAGGGACAAGAUCUCCUGAGUUGUCGAAGACUCACUCCGGAAGAAAACCCUCUCAGGCAGUUACUGAGGGACUGUGGUCUGGACUAGAACGUGUUUUUCUCAGUGACACCUCUAGAGGGCAGCACUCAACGGAGUCCCACAGACACCUCCCUGCAUUUCCUCCUCAGACACUGGGUGGAUGAUAUGGUAACACUGGGGAAUGCUUGGGUGUUCUCCUGGAAGCUCCUUAUUUUAAUCACCUGUUUACUUGUCUCCAUUCUUAUAGAUAUGUAGGCUACCCGAGGGCAGAGACUGAGUCUGUCUUGUUCACUGUCUACCUCCAGAACCUCACACAGAAUCUGGCACUUAGUAGGUGCACAACAAAAUAAUCAUUGAAUUAGUAUACUGAGUCUUUAACAGAGUCUCUUUCUGUUUAUUGAGUUGACACGAUGUAUCCAAAAGCAGCUGAAUGCACAACUCAAACUGUCAUCCAAGCACACAAAGAAGGCAUUGAUAAAAGCUAUGCUGGUUGUAAGUGGAGAAGAGACUAGAGCAAAGUGAAGCUGCAGGAAAAAGCUGAGACAGGUUACAACGGGAGUGCCAGAGAGAUGUCACUUAAAAUGAGAACUUCUCAGGGUAAGUCUCAUGGUGUUCAUGGCCUUUAAAGUAGGUUCUGAGACACAAUUUUAUGCAGAGGUCCCUUUCUGUGUUCUUCCAAGCCUACAGUAUUACUACAAUAUGACCUUAUCACAUGACCCAUGAAAGAAAACAACUCAAGGUAAUGGCCACAUCUAUUUCUAUUCUUUUCGUCUUAUUCAUGUUCUUGUGUGUCCUUGGAUGGGGAAGGCUGUGUGGGAUCCUGAGCUGAUGACCUCAGCUCAUUCACGGUGCCCCAAGCAUGAAAACAAGGAAAGGGCAUUCUCAGGGCACUGGGGAUGGUUCCUCUAGCAGAUACUCUGAGAGGUCUGGCCUUUUAGCCUGGAGAUAGUUGCCAGACCUGUUCAGGGAGCCACAUCCCUUCCACUUUAACCACCUUCUCCCUCUCCACCACCACAGCUACCACCCCACACACACAUAGGCAUCGCCUGGUGUUAAAAUCUUCAACUGUGGCCGGGCACGGUGGCUCACACCUGUAAUCCCAGCACUUUGGGAGGCCGAGGCGGGCGGAUCACGAG